This 497-nucleotide ribosomal RNA is filed under the name uncultured bacterium. RNAcentral describes it as "partial 16S ribosomal RNA". It matches the Rfam family "Bacterial small subunit ribosomal RNA", at positions 28 to 507 of the family's 1533-position model. The record is from RNAcentral.
GACGAACGCUGGCGGCGUGUCUAAUACAUGCAAGUUGAGCGAUGAAGAUUGGCGCUUGCACCAAUUUGAAGAGCAGCGAACGGGUGAGUAACGCGUGGGGAAUCUGCCUUUGAGCGGGGGACAACAUUUGGAAACGAAUGCUAAUACCGCAUAACAACUUUAAACAUAAGUUUUAAGUUUGAAAGAUGCAAUUGCAUCACUCAAAGAUGAUCCCGCGUUGUAUUAGCUAGUUGGUGAGGUAAAGGCUCACCAAGGCGAUGAUACAUAGCCGACCUGAGAGGGUGAUCGGCCACAUUGGGACUGAGACACGGCCCAAACUCCUACGGGAGGCAGCAGUAGGGAAUCUUCGGCAAUGGACGAAAGUCUGACCGAGCAACGCCGCGUGAGUGAAGAAGGUUUUCGGAUCGUAAAACUCUGUUGGUAGAGAAGAACGUUGGUGAGAGUGGAAAGCUCAUCAAGUGACGGUAACUACCCAGAAAGGGACGGCUAACUACGUG